UUUCAGGCUAUAGGUCUUUCAGGAUAUGAUUUUUGGUGGUGCAUGGCCGUUGGUGGUGCGUGGGUUGACCUGUCUAGCGUUGAUUCAGAUAACGAGCGAGAUUAUCACCAAUUAAAUAUAUAAAUAUUUUUAUUAAAAUAAUUUAUUUUCUAAUUGGGACUCCCUGCGUCUAAGCAGGAGGAAGAUGA
RNAcentral lists this ribosomal RNA (188 nucleotides) under Dientamoeba fragilis. RNAcentral describes it as "partial small subunit ribosomal RNA". It matches the Rfam family "Eukaryotic small subunit ribosomal RNA", at positions 1241 to 1447 of the family's 1831-position model. Lineage: Eukaryota; Parabasalia; Tritrichomonadida; Dientamoebidae. The record is from RNAcentral.